AAAGGUUUGGUCCUAGCCUUGAAGUCAGUUCUUACUUAAUAUACACAUGCAAGUCUCCGCACCCCGGUGAAAACGCCCUUAAAUCCCCCCUAGGGAUUAGGAGCCGGUAUCAGGCACACUUUGCCCAAAACACCUAGCCCAGCCACACCCACAAGGGAUUUCAGCAGUGAUAAACAUUGAUUAUAAGCGACAGCUUGAUUCAGUUAAAUUAAAUAGAGCCGGCCAAUUUGGUGCCAGCCGCCGCGGUUACACCAGAAGCUCAAAUUGACCUCAAUCGGCGUAAAGCGUGAUUAAAGUGAUUUUUACCCUGGAAUUAAACUAAAACUAAGCCGUGAUACGCUUGUUACCUAAGAAAAUCAAAAACGAAAGUUAUUCCAACUUAACCAACUUGAAUUCACGACAACUGAGAAACAAACUGGGAUUAGAUACCCCACUAUGCUCAGUCGUAAACUCUAACUUACACCCCACACGCCCGGGAACUACGAGCUAAGCUUAAAACCCAAAGGACUUGACGGUACCCCACAUCCACCUAGAGGAGCCUGUCCUAUAAUCGAUAACCCACGUUUUACCUCACCACUUUUAGCCUACUCAGCCUGUAUACCUCCGUCGUCAGCUUACCACGUGAGCGUCAGUAAGCCUAAUAUUAAUCCAAUAAUACGUCAGGUCAAGGUGCAACUUAUGAAGUGGGAAGAGAUGGGCUACACUCUCUAACCUAGACUACACGAAAGACUUUAUGAAAACAAGUCAGAAGGCGGAUUUAGUAGUAAAUAGAAACUAGAAUAUUCUUUUCAACUCGGCACUGGGGUGUGUACACACCGCCCGUCACCCUCCUCAAACGCUAUAAACAGUUCUUAACAAAAUUCAGCAUUUUUAGAAGAGGUAAGUCGUAACAUGGUAAGUAUACCGGAAGGUGUGCUUGGAAUCAA
RNAcentral lists this non-coding RNA (926 nucleotides) under Allobates sp. Neblina. RNAcentral's name for it is "12S ribosomal RNA". It matches the Rfam family "Bacterial small subunit ribosomal RNA". Lineage: Eukaryota; Metazoa; Chordata; Amphibia; Anura; Aromobatidae. The record is from RNAcentral.